AAACAUCCUUCAUCUUCUCAUCUGGUGUAAAGAUUUUGGACAUCUUGGACACGUUUAAUGUUUCCAGAUGACUUGCUGGAUUUAUAAAGUGGCCGUGUCUUGAGGUUGUUUAGUAUGGUGUGAUUCACUUUCUAUGUGCAAUUUGAUGCAAAUCGCAGUACUGAUUUUUCUACUCAGCCAGUUAUCAUAGACAAGAAAAAAUAAAGUAGUGACUGCAGGUUGAGGGAAAAUAAUGGAGUAAAACUACCGGCACUGCACUAAAAAUGUACUUAAGGGAAAGUAAAAGUACACGUUUUAAAACUACUUAGUAAAUUACAACUCCUGAGGAAACAACUCAAUACAGUACAGAAUUUCCAAUUUAUAAUCUAAAAAUGAUGAAGCAUUUAAAUGUUUUUACAGCUUUUUGUUGAACAUUGUUUUACAGGACUUCUGGCAUCCUGUAAUGCCAGAAUCUGGCAUCCCACAUUAAAAGUGCAACACAAAACCAGACAGUCUGGAGAUGUUUUCGCAGUGGGAUGGUUUGGCAACGGCGAGAAUCCCUAGUGAGGGAGAAAGAAAAAUGACGGGCAGCGGAGGGAGGAAUGAAGUCUCAUUUGGCAAGAGACUCAAACACCCACCCACCCACAUACAGGAGAACAAGGACCCAGUUGGCUGAGGUUUCUGAUAAACCACUGCAGUGUGGGAAAGCUCAUCACUCAUCUUCAAAUGGUUAUCAGAAAAAAAGCUAAAGAGCACACACUGGGAGUCUGUUUGGGGAAAAACUUCCAGUAGAUACAAAAGAACCUGUGCUCACACUCACAUGCGUAUUUCAUUCACAGGUCAGGCAAAUGUUGUAAAGACAUUAUUUUAUUCAACCUAAAAGUAUACAUAGUUUGACAGAGCAGCAGUUUGGAUGGACUGGGAUAUACUGUCUAACGUUUGCAUUUGUACAUACCAUUAUGCCCUUCAUGAAUGUUCUAAUAUAAGAUCAUAUCACCAACCUGAUUUCACCAAGUAAGAUAUGUUCCUGGAUUAACAUCUAUAUUGAUCCUGGAACAACAUUCCAAUCAGCCAAUCAGAAUUAGGGGCCCUUUUACUGUUUAUGUUAAUUUAGGCUUAGUUACUGCUAUUCAACUAUAACCCCCCUCUGAUUUUUAGAAUAAUUUACAGUUAUGGUUGGGUUUAGGGGUAGGGAAUAGGUAUGGAUUAUAUUUUUGAACAAAAAUUAUGUACCAGGAUCAACAUAGAUGUUAAUCCAGGAUCACAUCGUAUUUGGCAAAAUCAUGACAUGCACAUAUCACAUGUGAAUAGUGUCUUCAAAACAGAAAGUUCAUAGAUUGUUAUGCUUGUUGAAUCAUUGGCUCAGUCAAAAUGUGUUGACAAUGAAAUCAAAUGUAUUUAAUUAAUUGUAAAAAAUAAAUGUUUAAAGACAUGAGGCUCA
Danio rerio (zebrafish) is the source of this 1420-nucleotide non-coding RNA. The record is from RefSeq and is a predicted model, not a curated record. NCBI's taxonomy places the organism in Eukaryota, Metazoa, Chordata, Actinopteri, Cypriniformes, Danionidae.